UCGAGAAUCUUCGGCAAUGGGGGCAACCCUGACCGAGCGACGCCGCGUGCGAGAUGAAGGCCUUCGGGUUGUAAAUCGCUGUCAGUGGGGAGGAAAUAUUGGUGGGUUCUCCCAUCAGUUUGACCUAUCCGCAGAGGAAGGACGGGCUAAGUUCGUGCCAGCAGCCGCGGUAAGACGAACUGUCCAAACGUUAUUCGGAAUCACUGGGCUUAAAGGGUGCGUAGGCGGCUCGACAAGUUGGGUGUGAAAGCCCUCGGCUCAACCGAGGAACUGCGUCCAAAACUGUUGGGCUUGAGGAAGACAGAGGUAAGCGGAACUUAGGGUGGAGCGGUGAAAUGCGUUGAUAUCCUAGGGAACACCAGUAGCGAAAGCGGCUUACUGGGUCUUUUCUGACGCUGAUGCACGAAAGCUAGGGGAGCGAAGA
RNAcentral lists this ribosomal RNA (424 nucleotides) under uncultured prokaryote. Its description in RNAcentral is "bacterial SSU rRNA". It matches the Rfam family "Bacterial small subunit ribosomal RNA", at positions 355 to 774 of the family's 1533-position model. The record is from RNAcentral.